CCUACGGGUGGCAGCAGUGAGGAAUAUUGGGCAAUGGAGGCAACUCUGACCCAGCAAUGCCGCGUGAGUGAAGAAGGUUUUCGGAUUGUAAAGCUCUGUCGGAUGUGACGAUGAUGACGGUAGCAUCUAAAGAAGCCCCGGCCAACUUCGUGCCAGAAGCCGCGGGAAUAAGAAGGGGGCAAGCGUUGUUCGGAAUUACUGGGCGGAAAGGGAGGGUUGGCGGUUUAGUAAGGUAGGGGUGAAAUCCCAGAGCUUAACUUUGGAAUUGCCAGUAUAACUUUUAAAAUAGAAUGACAGAGAGGAUAGUGGAAUACCCGGUGUAGAGGUGAAAUGCGUAGAUAUUGGGUAGAACACCAGAGGCGAAGGCGACUAUCUGGCUGUACAUUGACGCUGAGGCUCGAAAGCAUGGGGAGCAAACAGGAUUAGAUACCCCUGUAGUC
This 440-nucleotide ribosomal RNA is filed under the name uncultured bacterium. Its description in RNAcentral is "partial 16S ribosomal RNA". It matches the Rfam family "Bacterial small subunit ribosomal RNA", at positions 338 to 795 of the family's 1533-position model. The record is from RNAcentral.